GGAUGCGAUCAUUACCAGCACUAAAGGACCGGAUCCCAUCAGAACUCUGAAGUUAAGUGUGCUUGGGCGAGAGUAGUGCUAGGAUGGGUGACCUCCUGGGAAAUCCUUGUGUUGCAUUCC
This 120-nucleotide ribosomal RNA is filed under the name Triticum dicoccoides. Lineage: Eukaryota; Viridiplantae; Streptophyta; Magnoliopsida; Poales; Poaceae. The record is from RNAcentral.